Molecule: ribosomal RNA, 1131 nt
Filed under: Triticum aestivum (bread wheat)
Lineage: Eukaryota; Viridiplantae; Streptophyta; Magnoliopsida; Poales; Poaceae
Description: partial small subunit ribosomal RNA
Source: RNAcentral
AUGCAGCUCAACUACCGCGUGCCAAGCCCAUGCGUGAGUAAAUACGGCAGGCGCAGCUCAACCCAUCAAGCCAUGGCAGACUUGCUCCUCCUAACCCUGCUUCCCUUGGCUCUCCUCUUCCUCCUCCUCCACCAUGCAUCGCCAAUCAAAGCCCUUCUCACGAGGGCCAAGUCGGUUUUGGCACCGGAGCUCUCCACGGUGUGGAAGCCACAGCCAGCUAGCAUCUUCGUCACGGACCCCGAGACGGCGCACAGCCUUCUCGUGCGCGGCAGCGCCGGUGGCUCCUUCUCCAACCGCCCACCGUCCAUUUCUCCCAGCGCCAUCCUCUCGCGCCGUCAAUACCAGAACAUCACCUCCGCUCCCUACGGUGAGCACUGGCGCGCCAUUCGUCACAACCUCACAUCAGAGGUCCUCCACCCAACGCAGCUCCACCGGCACGCGUCAGCGCGCCGCCGUGCACUACAUGGACUCGUCGUGGACCUCGCCGAGCAGAGGAAAAACGGCGUGGUUCACGCGGCGGAGAGCAUCCGCUACGCUAUGUUUGGCCUGGUGGCCAACAUGUGUUUCGGCGACGACAUCGACAAUAACCGCGUCCGUGCCAUGGCCGACGCUCAGAGUGACCUCGUCAAGUCCCUAUCUACGGCGCGCGUGUUCGCGCACGCGAAGCUCCCCGCACUGACCAGGCUCAUUUAUCGUAAUCGGUGGAAGAAGCUAGCCGCCCUGCGACAGCAGCAGGAGCAGACGUACCUACCACUCAUCGACUCCCGUCGCGGCCGGCACCGGCGACCCAGCGAGACGCCGGUGUAUGUGGACACGCUCAUCGAUCUCAAGGUGCCGGACGACCACAGUCAGGACCCAAGGCGGCAUCGAAGAAGGCUGUCCGAUGGUGAACUCGUCGGCAUGUGCUCCGAGUUCCUUGGUGCUGGAACUGAAACGACAGCAUCAGCGCUGCAGUGGAUCAUGGCCAACUUGGUGAAGCGUCCUGACAUACAGGAGGCCGUCCGGAAGGAGAUCAAUGCCGUCGUGGGUGCGGACGCCGAGGAAGUCAGCGAGGUUGUUCUUGGGAAGCUGGAGUACCUGCACGCUGUGAUCAUGGAGGCACUCCGGCUGCAUCCGCCGACGGAAAAGUAA